GCCCUUAGAGUUUGAUCCUGGCUCAGAACGAACGUUGGCGGCGUGGAUUAGGCAUGCAAGUCGAACGAGUUUCAGUAGCAAUACUGGAAUAAGUGGCGAAAGGGGCAGUAAUGUAUGGACAACUCACCCUGAGGAUGGGGAUAGCCAUUCUAACGAAUGAGUAAUACCCAGCGAGAUAGUGUUGUGGCAUCACGAUACUAUGAAAAGAGAUUCGCCUUGGGAGAGGUUCAUAUGCUAUUAGCUAGUUGGUGAGGUAACGGCUCACCAAGGCAAAGAUGGCUAGCGGGUGUGAGAGCACGACCCGCGUCACUGGCACUGAGACACUGGCCAGACAUCUACGGAUGGCUGCAGUCGAGAAUCUUCAUAAAUGGGGGCAACCCUGAACGAGCGACGCCGCGUGUGCGACGACGGCCUUAUUGGUUGUAAAGCACAAAAGUAGGAAUAAACGCCGAAAGGUUUGAUUGAACUACAGUAAGCACGGGCUAAGUUCGUGCCAGCAGCCGCGGUAAGACGAACCGUGCUAACGUUGUUCGGAAUCACUGGGCUUAAAGGGCGCGUAGGCGGGUAAUCAAGUCGAUGGUGAAAUCCGGCAGCUCAACUGUCGAACUGCCUUCGAUACUGAAUAUCUAGAGGGUAGUAGGGGCGUGUGGAACAGUUGGUGGAGCGGUGAAAUGCACAGAUAUCAACUGGAACUCCGGUGGCGAAAGCGACACGCUGGACUUUAUCUGACGCUGAGGCGCGAAAGCCAGGGGAGCAAACGGGAUUAGAUACCCCGGUAGUCCUGGCCCUAAACGAUGGGUACUGGAUAGUAGUCUACACAUGAGAUUACUGUCGAAGCAAAAGUGUUAAGUACCCCGCCUGGGGAGUAUGGUCGCAAGGCUGAAACUCAAAUGAAUUGACGGGGAAGGGC
RNAcentral lists this ribosomal RNA (910 nucleotides) under uncultured bacterium. RNAcentral's name for it is "bacterial SSU rRNA". It matches the Rfam family "Bacterial small subunit ribosomal RNA", at positions 1 to 924 of the family's 1533-position model. The record is from RNAcentral.